CUCUAGAUGGCUCAGAGGUUAAAGCGUCUGCCUGAAGUGCGGAAGACCUGGGUUCAAUCCCUGGGUUCGAAG
RNAcentral lists this transfer RNA (72 nucleotides) under Ovis aries (sheep). It matches the Rfam family "tRNA". From Rfam's summary of the family: Transfer RNA (tRNA) molecules are approximately 80 nucleotides in length. Their secondary structure includes four short double-helical elements and three loops (D, anti-codon, and T loops). The record is from Rfam by way of RNAcentral. Lineage: Eukaryota; Metazoa; Chordata; Mammalia; Artiodactyla; Bovidae.